UCAAAGGAAUUGACGGGGACCCGCACAAGCGGUGGAUGAUGUGGAUUAAUUCGAUGCAACGCGAAGAACCUUACCUGGUCUUGACAUGUACGGAAUCUCUUAGAGAUAGGAGAGUGCCUUCGGGAGCCGUAACACAGGUGCUGCAUGGCUGUCGUCAGCUCGUGUCGUGAGAUGUUGGGUUAAGUCCCGCAACGAGCGCAACCCUUGCCAUUAGUUGCCAUCAUUUGGUUGGGCACUCUAAUGGGGACUGCCGGUGACAAACCGGAGGAAGGUGGGGAUGACGUCAAGUCCUCAUGGCCCUUAUGACCAGGGCUUCACACGUCAUACAAUGGUCGGUACAGAGGGUAGCCAAGCCGCGAGGUGGAGCCAAUCCCAGAAAACCGAUCGUAGUCCGGAUUGCACUCUGCAACUCGAGUGCAUGAAGUCGGAAUCGCUAGUAAUCGCAGGUCAGCAUACUGCGGUGAAUACGUUCCCGGGUCUUGUACACACC
RNAcentral lists this ribosomal RNA (490 nucleotides) under uncultured bacterium. RNAcentral's name for it is "bacterial SSU rRNA". It matches the Rfam family "Bacterial small subunit ribosomal RNA", at positions 901 to 1391 of the family's 1533-position model. The record is from RNAcentral.